UCUUGGUCAUUUAGAGGAAGUAAAAAGUUGUAACCAAGGGUCUCCGUUGGUGAACCAGCGGAGGGAUCAUUACCGAGUUUACAACUCCCAAACCCCUGUGAACAUACCACUUGUUGCCUCGGCGGAUCAGCCCGCUCCCGGUAAAACGGGACGGCCCGCCAGAGGACCCCUAAAACUCUGUUUCUAUAUGUAACUUCUGAGUAAAACCAUAAAUAAAUCAAAACUUUCAACAACGGAUCUCUUGGUUCUGGCAUCGAUGAAGAACGCAGCAAAAUGCGAUAAGUAAUGUGAAUUGCAGAAUUCAGUGAAUCAUUGAAUCUUUGAACGCACAUUGCGCCCGCCAGUAUUCUGGCGGGCAUGCCUGUUCGAGCGUCAUUUCAACCCUCAAGCACAGCUUGGUGUUGGGACUCGCGUUAAUUCGCGUUCCUCAAAUUGAUUGGCGGUCACGUCGAGCUUCCAUAGCGUAGUAGUAAAACCCUCGUUACUGGUAAUCGUCGCGGCCACGCCGUUAAACCCCAACUUCUGAAUGUGACCUCGGAUCAGGUAGGAAUACCCGCUGAACUUAAGCAUAUCAAUAAGCGGAGAAA
RNAcentral lists this ribosomal RNA (587 nucleotides) under Fusarium sp. OTU096 AN-2016. RNAcentral describes it as "eukaryotic LSU rRNA". The stretch from base 222 to 375 matches the Rfam family "5.8S ribosomal RNA". The record is from RNAcentral. Lineage: Eukaryota; Fungi; Ascomycota; Sordariomycetes; Hypocreales; Nectriaceae.